GCUGGGUGUGGUGGUGCAUAUCUGUAAUCCUAGCUACUCGGGAGGCUGAGGUGGGAGGAUCGCUUGAGCCCAGGAGUUCAAGGCUUUAGUGAGCUAUGAUCAUGCCACUGCACUCCAGCCUGGGCAACAGAAUGAGACCCUGUCUCAA
Non-coding RNA from Homo sapiens (human), 148 nucleotides. It matches the Rfam family "Metazoan signal recognition particle RNA". From Rfam's summary of the family: The signal recognition particle (SRP) is a universally conserved ribonucleoprotein. It is involved in the co-translational targeting of proteins to membranes. Lineage: Eukaryota; Metazoa; Chordata; Mammalia; Primates; Hominidae. The record is from Rfam.